This 85-nucleotide transfer RNA is filed under the name Minisyncoccota bacterium. RNAcentral's name for it is "tRNA-Tyr". It matches the Rfam family "tRNA". From Rfam's summary of the family: Transfer RNA (tRNA) molecules are approximately 80 nucleotides in length. Their secondary structure includes four short double-helical elements and three loops (D, anti-codon, and T loops). Further hydrogen bonds mediate the characteristic L-shaped molecular structure. tRNAs have two regions of fundamental functional importance: the anti-codon, which is responsible for specific mRNA codon recognition, and the 3' end, to which the tRNAs corresponding amino acid is attached (by aminoacyl-tRNA synthetases). tRNAs cope with the degeneracy of the genetic code in two manners: having more than one tRNA (with a specific anti-codon) for a particular amino acid; and 'wobble' base-pairing, i.e. permitting non-standard base-pairing at the 3rd anti-codon position. The record is from RNAcentral. Lineage: Bacteria; Bacillati; Minisyncoccota.
GGCGAGACUGAGCACGUGGCGAGCCCAACGGGCUGUAAACCCGCCGUCUUUGACUGUGCUGGUUCAACUCCAGCUCUCGCCACCA